UAGUGAGUUUGAUCCUGGCUCAGAACGAACGCUGGCGGCAGGCUUAACACAUGCAAGUCGAGCGGGUGUCUUCGGGCAUCAGCGGCGGACGGGUUAGUAACGCGUGGGAACGUGCCUUUUGCUCUGGAAUAGCCCUGGGAAACUGGGGGUAAUACCGGAUGUGCCCUGAGGGGGAAAGAUUUAUCGGGAAGGGAUCGGCCCGCGUUGGAUUAGGUAGUUGGUGGGGUAAUGGCCACCAAGCCGACGAUCCAUAGCUGGUUUGAGAGGAUGAUCAGCCACACUGGGACUGAGACACGG
This 297-nucleotide ribosomal RNA is filed under the name uncultured Rubellimicrobium sp. RNAcentral's name for it is "partial 16S ribosomal RNA". It matches the Rfam family "Bacterial small subunit ribosomal RNA", at positions 1 to 329 of the family's 1533-position model. Lineage: Bacteria; Pseudomonadati; Pseudomonadota; Alphaproteobacteria; Rhodobacterales; Roseobacteraceae. The record is from RNAcentral.